RNAcentral lists this ribosomal RNA (460 nucleotides) under uncultured bacterium. RNAcentral describes it as "partial 16S ribosomal RNA". It matches the Rfam family "Bacterial small subunit ribosomal RNA", at positions 338 to 795 of the family's 1533-position model. The record is from RNAcentral.
ACUACGGGUGGCAGCAGUGAGGAAUAUUGGUCAAUGGGCGCGAGCCUGAACCAGCCAAGUAGCGUGAAGGAUGACUGCCCUACGGGUUGUAAACUUCUUUUAUAAAGGAAUAAAGUGAGGCACGUGUGCCUUUUUGUAUGUACUUUAUGAAUAAGGAUCGGCUAACUCCGUGCCAGCAGCCGCGGUAAUACGGUGGAUCCGAGCGUUAUCCGGCUUUAUUGGGGUUAAAGGGCGCGUAGAUGGGUUGUUAAGUCCGUUGUGAAAGUUUGCGGCUCAACCGUAAAAUUGCAAUUGAUACUGGCAGUCUUGAGUACAGUUGAGGUAGGCGGAAUUCGUGGUGUAGCGGUGAAAUGCUUAGAUCUCACGAAGAACUCCGAUUGCGAAGGCAGCUUACUAAACUGCCCCUGACAUUGCUGCUCGAAAGUGUGGGUAUCAAACAGGAUUAGAUACCCGUGUAGUC